This 207-nucleotide ribosomal RNA is filed under the name uncultured bacterium. Its description in RNAcentral is "partial 16S ribosomal RNA". It matches the Rfam family "Bacterial small subunit ribosomal RNA", at positions 568 to 774 of the family's 1533-position model. The record is from RNAcentral.
UGCGUAGGUGGUGAGGUAAGUCGGAUGUGAAAGCUCGGAGCUCAACUCCGAAAUGGCAUUGGAAACUACCUUGCUAGAGGGUUGGAGGGGGGACUGGAAUGCUUGGUGUAGCAGUGAAAUGCGUAGAUAUCAAGCGGAACACCAGUGGCGAAGGCGAGUCCCUGGACAACUCCUGACACUGAGGCACGAGAGCUAGGGGAGCAAACA